Molecule: long non-coding RNA, 1610 nt
Organism: Cyprinus carpio carpio
Lineage: Eukaryota; Metazoa; Chordata; Actinopteri; Cypriniformes; Cyprinidae
Source: Ensembl
GGCCUUGUUUUGUUCCGGAGCGUUCAGAGCUGUUCUGGAAUGAUAAACAGGGCUUUGCAUUACUAAAGCAUCGAUAAACAUUAAACAUCAUCACAUACUGUACACACACUCCUCCUGUAAUGCACUGCAUGCUGACUGCUCAUGGGAAGGACCCGUUUGAGAGCAGCCAUGACCGAAGGCCAGAUGAGACUUCAGCUUCCUCCAUCUGUCCCUCUCACUUCCUGAGUGCUCAAUGCUCUUUGAUGACUUUUUUAUUUCAUUUUUGGAACAAAUAAGUUUUCUCAACAACAUUUGGGCUUUUAGAGGCUUUAAAAUAUGAUAUUACACUUCCAGAAACUUUCAUUUUUAAAUGUGCAUUUAGCCUUGACUGUCAUUUUAGACUGUAUUGAUUAUUCGUUUCGAUGAUUCCUUACAAAAUAAUCUCUCUUUCUGUUAAAAGCCUCAGAAGGCACGUACUGCAUCUAAUGCAUGUUGCACAAAAAGCGCUUCCAGAAAAGCUGAAGUUUGCAGGCUGGUGAAAUAAAAGCACCUGCUAAAUGACCAAAAAACACGGUAGUACCGUAGCACUGUUUUUUGGGUUGUCAGCGUGACGUUGCAGAUAAACAGUGAUAUCUGAGGCGCAGGGCACAUGCAGGCCGCUGGAAAUGUUGCUUUUAAGCGACUCGCUUUCUCCGGGUUUCCCAUUUCUGCUUUUAUGGAUGGAGUGCCAAUCAUAGUCUCUUGAUAUCUCUCACGCUAACAUUAUUGAGUACAUUACAGCACAUGCCUGAGCCAUGAAAGCAUCAAUAACAUCCUCAUCAGCACGAGACAGACCAGCCCUCAGAAGAGAAGAGUGCAGACAGCAACAAACUCCAAGCUGCAGAGUGAAAACAACCCUGUAUGGUGUCCUCAGUGUUCUUCUAGCGUCGGUAAACGUGUGUAAAGUCAGGCGUGAUGUUGAUGUUGUGCUGUUGUUGACGCUGACAGCCGCGGGCAGCUGGAAGAACUGGCAUCGAGCCGGACGCAAAGACAAUGAGAGCAAACACACUCCGACAGCCAGCGCUAGCUUCACCAGACCAGCUGAUUCUGACUCUACAGUACUGUGUGAAAUUAAUGCUUUCAUUCAUCAAUGAUGCAUUAAAAUUACAGUGAAGACAUUUAUAAUGUUACAGUAGAUUUCUAUUUCAAAUAAAUGCUGUUCUUCUUGAAUCCUUGAAUCCUGAAAAAUAAAAUGCAUCACAGUUUCCACAAAAAUAUUGUGCAGCACAACUGUUUUCAACAUUGAUAAUAAUCAGAAAUGUUUCUUGAGCAGCAAAUCAUCAUAUUAGAAUGAUUUCUGAAGAUCAUGUGACACUGAAGACUGGAGUAAUGAUGCUGAAAAUACAGCUGCGCAUCACAGAAAUAAAUUACACUUUAACAGAGAUUCACACAGAAAACAGCUGUUUUAAAUUGUAAUAAUAUUGCACAAUUUUUACUGUAUUUUUGAACAAAUAAAUCCAGCCUUGGUGAGCAAAAAGGACUGAAAAACAUAAAAAAUAAUAAUAAUAAUAAUACCGAUCCUUAACUUUUAAAUGGUAUAUUUAAAAUAUUAAAACAAACUCAUUUUAAUAAGUAGGCUGAUUUUUUCCCCC